This 31-nucleotide non-coding RNA is filed under the name Macaca fascicularis (crab-eating macaque). RNAcentral also lists the same sequence under 1 other name. The record is from RNAcentral. Lineage: Eukaryota; Metazoa; Chordata; Mammalia; Primates; Cercopithecidae.
UGCAGAUGAGGUAACCGCUUGUAGAAUGGCA